Molecule: ribosomal RNA, 432 nt
Filed under: Anguispira fergusoni
Lineage: Eukaryota; Metazoa; Mollusca; Gastropoda; Stylommatophora; Discidae
Description: partial large subunit ribosomal RNA
Source: RNAcentral
UUUAUGUAAGGUUAUUUCUGCUCUAUGAUUAUUUUUAAAUGGCCGCAGUAAACUGACUGUGCUAAGGUAGCAUAAUAAAUUGGCCUUUAAUUAAGGUCUGGUAUGAACGGAAUAAUAUGUAGUUUCUGUCUUAUUUGUAAUAUUUUUAAUUUACUAAUUAGGUGAAAAUUCCUUUAAGUACAUGUGUAGGACGAUAAGACCCUUAGAAUUAUUUAAUAGGUGAUACUCAAAGUGUAUCAAACAUUUUUGUUGGGGCGACAUAUUAUCAUAAAACAUAAUAAUCAAUUUAAUUUACAAGACUAAUUUAUUUAGUUAGAACUAAUUACCUGAGGGAUAACAGCAUAAUAUAUAUAUAUGUUUAUGACCUCGAUGUUGGACUAGGUAAAUUAUUAACUAACAGUUAAUAAUUUUUGUUCUGUUCGAACAUUUUAC